GCUUGUGGUCGGGGACAGAUUAACAGGAUUAGAUACCCUGGUAGUCCACGCCGUAAACGAUGGGCACUAGGUGCCGGGGGGAACGACCCCUUCGGUGCCGCAGCUAACGCGUUAAGUGCCCCGCCUGGGGAGUACGGCCGCAAGGCUGAAACUCAAAGGAAUUGACGGGGGCCCGCACAAGCGGUGGAGCACGUGGUUUAAUUCGAAGCAACGCGAAGAACCUUACCUGGGUUUGACAUGCUGGUGAAAGCCCGGUGAAAGCCGGGCCCUCCUUCGGGACACCAGCACAGGUGCUGCAUGGCUGUCGUCAGCUCGUGUCGUGAGAUGUUGGGUUAAGUCCCGCAACGAGCGCAACCCUUGCCCCGUGUUACUAACAGGUAAAGCUGAGGACUCUCGGGGGACUGCCGGCGUCAAGCCGGAGGAAGGUGGGGACGACGUCAAGUCAUCAUGGCCCUUACGCCCAGGGCUACACACGUGCUACAAUGGCCAGGACAGAGGGCUGCAAGACGGCAACGUGGAGCGAAUCCCAUAAACCUGGUCUAAGUUCGGAUUGCGGGCUGCAACUCGCCCGCAUGAAGCCGGAAUCGCUAGUAAUCGCGGAUCAGCUACGCCGCGGUGAAUACGUUCCCGGGCCUUGUACACACCGCCCGUCACGCCAUGGAAGCCGGGAGUGCCCGAAGUCCGUGUCCUAACCCGCAAGGGAGGGAGCGGCCGAAGGCAAGCUCGGUGACUGGGGCGAAGUCGUAACAAGGUAACCAAUCU
RNAcentral lists this ribosomal RNA (762 nucleotides) under uncultured bacterium. RNAcentral's name for it is "bacterial SSU rRNA". It matches the Rfam family "Bacterial small subunit ribosomal RNA", at positions 751 to 1506 of the family's 1533-position model. The record is from RNAcentral. RNAcentral also lists the same sequence under 1 other name.